Molecule: long non-coding RNA, 842 nt
Organism: Entelurus aequoreus (snake pipefish)
Lineage: Eukaryota; Metazoa; Chordata; Actinopteri; Syngnathiformes; Syngnathidae
Exons: 4
Source: RefSeq, a predicted model, not a curated record
AAUGCAGAGAAUAAUUUCGCCACACCUAGUGUGUGUGUGUGUGACAAUCAUUGGCACUUUAACUGAACUUUUAAUGAUGUUAUUCAUAUUAUUCAGAUUGAAAAGCUUAAGGGGCCGCAUGUGGCCCCCGGACGUUCAUUUGCCCAGGUCUGUGCUAAGGUGAUCUCUAGAAGUGGUCCACACUCCAUGUCAGUAGGUGGCGGUAAUGCACACCAGAAGGUUGCUUGCCAACCUGCUAUAAAAACAAAAGAAGAAGAAGAAGAUCCACACUUCCGGGUGGUGAUGACGUCGCGUCGUGACGUCAUAUUUCAAAAUGGCAGAGCCCGCGGAAAGACCCCCUGGAGUCGACUCCAUUUCCCAAGAAAAGAUGUCAACAGCGCGACUUGUAACAAUUAUAAGGCCGAGGAGGGUUAUUUGAACACACACCAUUCAAUUAUUAUAAAUGAAAGUCACGUUUUUUAACCGCUCCGGUCUCGUCCCAGCGGAAGUGACGCUAGCACGUCAUCAGAAUACAACAGAUCAACACGACGAGAGAGGCAUUCUGCCGCUAGACAAAGGUCACCGAGCAGCGACGAAGUUUGCAUUUUCGGUAGAGGUCCAGGGAGCCACGAGGGCGGUGCUAAAGAGACGCGGGUUGCUGACCCCCGGCCUACACCCUAGACUGGCCGCCAGUUCAUCGCAGGACACAUGAAAAAGCCUUCGCCCUCAAAUCAGAGAAAAAUGGCAACAGCAGAGGAUGGAUGUCCCAUAACAAGAAGGUGGAGAAAAAGAAGAAGCUUAUCGACUACGGUGUCGGCACGGACUACAAAGGCGGACCUGCACAAAUUUUCAGGUACCAGAAG